CCCUGGAGAGAGAGGGCUGCGUAAUCGCGCAGUGGCAAAGUUUGGCUGGUAUAUUCCACCUCCCUUUUCCAGCCCAGUCCCUACGCUUUUGUUCUUUAACGAACUUGCACAGAUUGUUUUAUUUGUUUAUUUUAAUAGGCAGAAACCAAGCAGGCAUUGCUCUCAUGUGCUUCUUUAUAUAAAGAGCUUGGGGGAUGGGAGGAGGGUAUGGGGGCGCGGGCGUUGACUCGCUUUCUCCCAGCCGCGCAAGUUGGAUGGAAACAUGCUGCUAUGGAUGGGAACUAGAUCAGUCUCAUUCCCACCCAGCCCCGACGGGUCCCGCAGGAGGAAGAGAUGCGUAGUCGAGGGCCGUUUCCUCGCGGGUUUUGUAACUUAACUGCGCAGCGCGCUCCAAAGACCCAACGCACAAUACAGAAAGAAAUAGGCUGCAACAAUAGAAUGCUGAAGAGGUCCGGGUGGUUAGGGAGAGGGCUCCUGCGUUGGUGGUCAGGGAGGUUACAGCAAGCAGGUGUGAUUAUUGUGAGCAUCUGGGAGUGUGGAGCAGUGGCUUCAGUCCUUCCUACCACCGACCUUACGUGUUCCGUACCAUUCUUAUUGGAUCUAUCAGAAAACAGCAUGCAAGAGCCAGCAGCCAACCAUUCCUGGUGGAGCACCAUCAAACUUCCUCCGUUGGAGUUACUUAAAAGUUAUAUUGUUGGGAUUUUUGAUAACGCCUUUCCUUAUGUGGAUUACUACAAUUUGAUGGCUGGGAACUCUCCACUCAGAAGCUUCCAGCACCUUCCAUCUACAGUGCAGUGUCCCGGGGAGAGUUCACAGCAGUCGUGAAGCCCCACACCCAUUUGGCUUAGUGCACACGGUGUCUUUUCAACUUUCUGGGCCAUGUUCAUUUUAGAAGGAUGACACAGCUGAUGACAGAAUGACUUCAAAAGGGACAUCGCAUAAAUAUUGUGACCUGACUGCAGAAAUGCUGACUCUCUGCUUAUUCAGGUGUGAAUCAUGAUGGUGUGGCAAGGCCUGUGAUUUACUCUUUGGUGGGCAUGCCUGAGUGUGAUUAAGGGAUUUAAGUGCAGGACUCGAAGAUUUACUUCCUUCCUGUUCCAGCAGGGUAACCUGAGGGAGUGAGUAAUGGGAUAAUUUAUAACACCGCGGGCUCUUCGUCAAGAGACCACUAGUCAAAACAGGAAGAUCAAACUCAGGUUUCAAUGGGAGGACUACAACUUUUGAUACUCUCUGGACAUACCUCUUAAUUACAAGCAGAAGAUCUUCAAGAAUUUUCCUAAGGAGAUGUCCAAAGGUAAAGGCAUCGGAUAGAGUUAUUCCAUUACUCUCUGUGGAGGUCUAGAUUUUGAUUUCAGUAUUUCUGACAAAAUCUUCAGCUUCAGCCUUGACAUCAACUUUAUGAACUAAGGUGCAGCAUUUCUGGGUCCUUUGAGAGGCUGAGGAGAGUCUGCAGGCGUGCUGCCCACCUCUGCAAGUGCUUGUCCUAGGGUCACAGCAAGUGGAAGUGGAGAGCACCACAAACUGCUUUGAGCAGAGCCCACUUCCUUCGUCGCGGAGCGUGUGAAGCCGUUACACCAACAUCAAUCAAGGGGAACCCAGGGGCUGCACUCACACCGUUGAAGCAGGCUCUGCUUUCACAUCUUUUGGAUAUGUACCGAGGCACGAGAUCAUAUGGUGGAUCAUCUGGUGAGCAAAGUGAAGACUGGUCCAGGGGCAGAGUACUUCUGAGGCAGAGGAAGAAGACUAAACAGCUCCCGGCUCAGCUCCUCUUCUCAUACUCAGGAAUCACUGCACAUGCUGUUAUAGGGCCUCAUUUUGUUUUCCUUUCCAAAACACCUGUGUGCUGUGUUUGCAGUGCUGUGACUCUGGCUACUCGUCAGGCCCUUUUACAUAUUUCUUUUUCACUUAAAGAAAUAUUAUUUCAAAACUUUAUUAGGGUGUAAUUUAGAUGAAAAUAUCUUAUUAUCUAGCAUGCAACUAAAUUCUUCCAGUUUAGUUUGUUUAGUUGAAAUCUUUCUGGAAGAAUCUGUCUUACAUCUGGGCAAUACAAAAGCAAUAGCCUGUGGAAAACGCGUUCUGAUCAUAUCAUAUCCUAGGAAAGAUGGAGAGAACAAUAAAAUUCAGUCAAUAUUUUAUAAAUUCAAGGUCAGCCUUCUGUGUCACUGUCAACAGUGGAUGAGUCCCAAAGGAUUUCUGUUACUAUUAAAUUAGAAAUGAUCCACUUUUAUUUUAAGUAUAGUGGAUUUCUCCAUUCAAUAGACGGGGAAAAAAAACAAAAUAAAAAGUCAAGAGAGCAGAAUUAUUUUGUAAGAUAAUUGCAAACCACUUAUGUGUUUCAAUACAAAGCAGUAGAGACCGUCUUAUCUCUGUGGCUAUUCAUCCGUAUCUAGCUUUAGUGAAUUUAUGGCUGAGAUUCUUCACCUAGAUCCCUGAGGAGUUAUGUUGCAUCCCUUUGCCCCACCUCACCAGGUGCAUCUCAGGAAAAUGAAUGUACGUGAUGCAUCUGUUAUUCAUAUCUGGAUAGAAAUGGGUGCUGUUAUGAUUUGAAAGUGGUUGUACUUUUCUUCUCAGAGAUGUUCCCCUUUGUAUAUGCUUGUAUAAUAUACAUGGCCUUUCAUUGUAAGCUUUUUAUUCAUAAAGGAAUCUAAUUGAAUUGGUUAAGAAAUAUAUCUAUAGGGUUUUCUUCAAUGGUGAUUUUCAUUGCUAAUAUGUUUUGUAAUCAGCCAAGUUUAUGGGUAACCCAAUUUGUGUGUUUGCUGAGUGGUACAUUUCAGUGUGCUUUUCCUUCUUUGCUUAGGGAUUUUUAUUUUCUGUCAGGAUCAGUGGACAAUAUAGUACCUCCACCAUUAUACAACAGUAUUUAAAUGCUUUCCUUUAGGAUGUUAAGAGACUGGGUUGGCCCUGUGACAAAAACUUUUCAAAGUCAAACUGAAUUUAGCCUUAGAGUGGUGCAAGUUUUCAUCUUAAAUUAUUUUGCAUUUUUUAUAUUCAUACUUUUAGAGUCUUCAAAAUUUCUCCAGCCCAUCUCCACUGAUCACCACCAACAAGAGGGUGUAAGUUACUUGAUGUGGAACCUUCUCAAAAGAAGAUGCUUCAGAGAUGGACUGGAAAUGCCUUGAUAUUAUUUACCACGAAAAUGAUGUAGCUAUGGGGCCCAGCUUGCCCACUUGGCUGUCAGUGAAGUUCUCCCUGGCCUCAAGGAGAGGCUAGCUAAUCUCUGCUUUCAUCCUGAACCUGUUGUUGCCCUGAGGACCACUCUGCAUCUUAGCUUUGUUCUUCUGAACUGCCUGCCUUACUGUGUGAGAAGUCAUGGAGUCAGAUGCAACUUUCUUAUCUGAACAUCUUCAAGGAAGAAUCCUGUUGCAAAUCAUCACAUCACAGUUGUGCUGCUGUCCCUUGUUGCCAACAACUCUGUCUUGCGAGUGGACGUUUUACUCUGAGACUAUUUUGACUUAUCUUGCAUGGAGCUGCCCCAUGUGUAUUCUAUCUUGUAAAAGCCUAGUUUUCCAAAGGCUGUAAGGCUAAAAAAGAUGGACUUUUCUGUUUCCUGGAAGGAAUUUUGAAAGCUUAAACCAUGAUUUCCUGGAAUAUAUGAUAUGUGGGAGAUCCCAAGCCUUCUGACCACAACCGUGAAGUGCCUGCAAAUCACUGAGUGUCGUGUGCUAUAAUUGAAAGUGUGUUUUAUGAUCACUAAUCCUUUCCUUGCAAGGACUGAUUGGCACGUUGAAGAGGCUAAGGAACAUGGACUCAUGGGCUAACUGCUUUUAACAUUGCUGCAUUAUAAGCCAGGUAAAUCAAGGGCUCUCUGCUUCUGCCUUGAAAAUUGGGCCUGUUGUCUGGAUUCCAGUGACUGUUCUCCUGUUCCACUCUGAUUCUUGAAUACAGCAUCUGGUACUCCUGGGUUUCUUCUCAUAGCUCUCCUGAAAAAUUCUACUCUGUCUUUGUGAUGCUCCAGUCAAGGUACAAAUGGCCAUUCAAUGCCUGUUUGUUGAAUCACAGAAUGGACCUUGUAUACUGUACAUCAGCUGUCUGUUUUUCUGCCCAUUCCGUGUCCUGAUUCAGCAAUGACAACCCCAGCAGACUGAAGCCUGAUGCUGUAAGCAUUAUCUUUGCAAGAUUAUUUUCAUUGGAGUCUCAUUCUUAUAAAUCAGCCCAAAUGUCCUAACACGUGGUGCCACAUUAAUUAUUUGAAGACAUUUAAACAAUGUUACUAGUCCGUGGACAUAACGAUAAUGCUUACCGUAAUGUCUUGGCUAUAAGAUGGACUACUAAGAGUUAAGCUGAAUAAAUCUCCAUAAAAUGAAUAUGAUUUUUUUAUUAGUACCAGUUAACCAAAAUUUUUCUGUAAAUAUCUGACUCAAGAAAUUUCAGAGGCCCUAAAUACUAAUCAAGGUGGUCUCUAUGAAAAAAUCUGAGCGGCGGGACUGGAAAGUAGUUAUAAUUUGCUAAUCAGAAACAUAAUCAGUGUUUUAGCUCCUCUUUUGGAAAAGGAUGUAUGAAUAUAAACAGAAUAGUGACUAAAAAGUAUAGAAAGGAAAAUCGCAAACACAAAUGUUGUUGAUCCUCGUGUAACACUCUUGUGGAACAGAAGUCUUAAAUAAAGGAUUUGAACAUUUGCAACAAGACUG
Fukomys damarensis (Damara mole-rat) is the source of this 4628-nucleotide long non-coding RNA. RefSeq lists it as uncharacterized. The record is from RefSeq and is a predicted model, not a curated record. The transcript is spliced from 12 exons. NCBI's taxonomy places the organism in Eukaryota, Metazoa, Chordata, Mammalia, Rodentia, Bathyergidae.